GGCUGAAAUUGAUACAGCAGUUUCAAAGGAGAAGAUUUUUUAAAGUAAGUCAACAUGAUGAACAAAAUUGUGAAAAAAGUCUUUAAAGGGCAAUAACUCCUUAAGGGGUCAAUUGACAAUUUUGGUCAAAUUGACUUAAUUGAAGAUCUUACUUUGCUGAACAUUAUUGCUGUUUACAGUUUAUUUCUAUCCAUAAUUAUAUUCAAGAUAAUAAACAAAAACAGCAAAAUUUCCUUAAAAUUAUCAAUUCAGGGGCAGCAACCCAACAACAGGUUGUCUGAUUCAUCUGAAAAUUUCAGGGCAGAUAGAUCUUGACCUGAUAAACAAUAUUACCCAACGUCAGAUUUGCUCUAAAUGCUUUGGUUUUUGAGUUAUAAGCCAAAAACUGCAUUUGACCCCUAUGUUCUAUUUUUAGCAAUGGCGACCAUGUUUGUUGAUAGAUCAUAACUUCGGAUACAAUUUACAAACUAGAUACCCUAAGGAACAUUCAGUUAAAGUUUGGAAGUAUUUGGCCCAGUAGUUUCAGAGGAGAAGAUUUUUGUAAAAGAUUACUAAGAUUUACGAAAAAUGGUUAAAAAUUGACUAUAAAGGGCUAUAACUCCUAAAGGGGUCAACUGACCAUUUCCGUCAUGUUGACUUAUUUGUAAAUCUUACUUUGCUGAACAUUAUUGCUGUUUACAGUUUAUCUCUAUCUAUAAUAAUAUUCAAGAUAAUAACCAAAAACAGCAAAAUUUCUUUAAAAUUUACCAAUUCAGGGGCAGUAACCCAACAACAGGUUGUCUGAUUCAUCUGAAAAUUUCAGGGCAGAUAGAUCUUGACCUGAUAAACAAUAUUAUCCCAUGUCAGAUUUGCUCUAAAUGCUUUGGUUUUUGAGUUAGAAGCCAAAAACUGCAUUUGACCCCUAUGUUCUAUUUUUAGCAAUGGCGACCAUGUUUGUUGAUAGAUCACAACUUCUGAUACAAUUUACAAACUAGAUACCCUAAGGAACAUUCAGUUAAAGUUUGGAAGUAUUUGGCCCAGUAGUUUCAGAGGAGAAGAUUUUUGUAAAAGAUUACUAAGAUUUACGAAAAAUGGUUAAAAAUUGACUAUAAAGGGCAAUAACUCCUAAAGGGGUCAACUGACCAUUUCCGUCAUGUUGACUUAUUUGUAAAUCUUACUUUGCUGAACAUUAUUCCUGUUUACAGUUUAUCUCUAUCUAUAAUAAUAUUCAAGAUAAUAACCAAAAACAGCAAAAUUUCCUUAAAAUUACCAAUUCAGGGGCAGCAACCCAACAACAGGUUGUCUGAUUCAUCUGAAAAUUUCAGGGCAGAUAGAUCUUGACCUGAUAAACAAUAUUACCCCAUGUCAGAUUUGCUCUAAAUGCUUUGGUUUUUGAGUUAUAAGCCAAAAACUGCAUUUGACCCCUAUGUUCUAUUUUUUAGCAAUGGCGACCAUGUUUGUUGAUAGAUCAUAACUUCGGAUACAAUUUACAAACUAGAUACCCUAAGGAACAUUCAAUUAAAGUUUGGAAGUAUUUGGCCCAGUAGUUUCAGAGAAGAUUUUUGUAAAAGAUUACCAAGAUUUACGAAAAAUGGUUAAAAAUUGACUAUAAAGGGCAAUAACUCCUAAAGGGGUCAACUGACCAUUUCCGUCAUGUUGACUUAUUUGUAAAUCUUACUUUGCUGAACAUUAUUCCUGUUUACAGUUUAUCUCUAUCUAUA
RNAcentral lists this long non-coding RNA (1700 nucleotides) under Mytilus galloprovincialis (Mediterranean mussel). The record is from RNAcentral. Lineage: Eukaryota; Metazoa; Mollusca; Bivalvia; Mytilida; Mytilidae.